This is a long non-coding RNA of Sipha flava (yellow sugarcane aphid), 1542 nucleotides long. RefSeq lists it as uncharacterized. The record is from RefSeq and is a predicted model, not a curated record. The transcript is spliced from 3 exons. Lineage: Eukaryota; Metazoa; Arthropoda; Insecta; Hemiptera; Aphididae.
UAGCGUAAUUCAUAGACUACAGUUUAUUAUAUAACAAUGAUUUGGGAAAAAGUUUUUUUUACAUUUCCAUUUUUCAUAUUGAAUUCUUACUGGCAUGCGCAUGAUCCCAAUAGAGUGGGAAGGUUCAAUAUACUCAGUGAUAUUUAUUCAACAUAUUCAGCGAUCUAAUUCGAAAACAUUAAACGAUAGAGCUACAGGUAAUGUUCGUCUGGAUUUUCCACGAGUGACGAGUGAAUAUUUUAAAAAUAUUUAAUCUACAUAGUUGAUAUAGCAGGUUCACGCUUGCGCGGUACGAUGAUUAAUGUGUUCUUUCGGCAAUCAAACGACAGGUAUUAUGUUCUUAAAAUUUUAGCCAUAGAAAAACAGAUCUGCAGGCGGCAAUGACGUCGCGACAGUUCCAGUCGUGGUCAUCAAACAUCAGAUCAGUCACCGCUCGUUGGACACUUAACAGUCCAGACAAGACGAAGAUAUAACAAAAACGGCAAGAUCUGAUUUUUAAUUUAUGAAGUGGAUAAACAUGAUGAUCUCAAGAACAUAUAUAUUUUUAAUGGUUUUAUUUUCGUAACUCAAAAUCAAAUUAAUUUGAAUACAAGCGGUGAUCUUUUAAUAAAACUAUGCUUUUUCUUAUAAAUAUAAAUCUAUAUAAUCCUUAUUCUGGGUCUAUUGAACAUUGACAAUAUUUAUACAUAUAUAUAUUUAAUUCUACUGUACAUGUGUAUGUCACUGAACUCUUUCUAAACGGCUGGACCUAAUCGAAUGCAUUUUUUUGUAUGCAUUUGGGUGAUACCCUGGAUGGUGUUAUAAAUUCACAAAUCAGCUCAGCAAAUGGCGCUGCAGCCAAUAUCCAGGUUAUAUACUAUAUAAUAUAAUAAAUAGGAAUUAUUUGAUUGUUUGCAUUUAAUGGACUACGAAAUUACUGGACAGAUUUGAAAAAUUCUUUUACCGCUAGGAAGCUACACUAUCCCCGGGUGACAUAGGAUAUAUUAUAUUUUCAAAAAUAUUAGGGUUCCUUACUACAACUCCAAUAAUGUAACCCAAAAUGUAUCCUUAAAUAAAUAUAUGUAUCGUUUGCUUGUUCGCAAAAAUCUACUGGAUCACUCAAUCACUACAAUCAUUCUUUUACCAUUAAAAUGCUACCUUAUCCAUGAGUAAUAUGGGCUAGGAGGUUUUCUCACACUUCAAAAACUAAGAUAUCGCCACGUGGUUUGACUUUUUGUACGGCAAUGUAUAGCAAAGCCUCCUGUAGCUCGGUACAUCGAUCAAAAUAUCGGCUCUCCUCAAAUUUCCAUAGAUUUCCACCUAUAAGAGAGGUAAGGGACAAGUUCAAAAGUUAAAAAGUACAUAAGAAGCGGUAUGAGAGAGGUAUUUGUGAUCGCGCAUGUCUAGAUCAUGACCGAAACUAACUAAAAGAAGAUUUAAUUUAUAUGGUGAUUUCGUUUGAAAACUUAACGUAAGAAUGUUAAUUAUCGAAGUAGUUAUAAACAUUACAUUUUAAGCUUAUAUGGCUGUAAAUGAAAAACACAAUAUUCAUUACGUCCAUGU